Molecule: non-coding RNA, 76 nt
Organism: Myotis davidii
Lineage: Eukaryota; Metazoa; Chordata; Mammalia; Chiroptera; Vespertilionidae
Source: Rfam
GGCGGUUCUCGGGUGAUGCACACUGGAACCAGAGAGGAGGGAGCCUGAUUCCAGUGUGCGUCACCUGAGAACCACC